UGCAAAUCUGGUUCGAUAAGGACCAAAA
This 28-nucleotide small RNA is filed under the name Bombyx mori (domestic silkworm). RNAcentral describes it as "ovarian small RNA-33292". The record is from RNAcentral. Lineage: Eukaryota; Metazoa; Arthropoda; Insecta; Lepidoptera; Bombycidae.